UCGUGGAGUGAUUUGUCUGCUUAAUUGCGAUAACGAACGAGACCUUAACCUGCUAAAUAGCCAGGCUAGCUUCGGCUGGUCGCCGGCUUCUUAGAGGGACUAUCGGCUCAAGCCGAUGGAAGUUUGAGGCAAUAACA
This 137-nucleotide ribosomal RNA is filed under the name uncultured eukaryote. Its description in RNAcentral is "partial 18S ribosomal RNA". It matches the Rfam family "Eukaryotic small subunit ribosomal RNA", at positions 1299 to 1458 of the family's 1831-position model. The record is from RNAcentral.